RNAcentral lists this long non-coding RNA (532 nucleotides) under Chinchilla lanigera (long-tailed chinchilla). RNAcentral's name for it is "lncRNA (ENSCLAG00000024644.1)". The record is from RNAcentral. Lineage: Eukaryota; Metazoa; Chordata; Mammalia; Rodentia; Chinchillidae.
GAGUAAGAAACUGUUUAUCUGUUUUCAUUAUUCCACAAGACCCUGACUACGUAGAGUGUGGUCCAAUGACCAAGCAGCAUUAGCACAGCCCAAGAGCCUGCUGGACAACAUAAGAGCACGACUGAAACCUAGUUCAUCUCAAGAAGAAGCAUGACAUAAAAGAGAAACGCAAGGGCAUGGGUGACUGCCCUGCAAAGAAUCCCAAAACACUGUACUGUAUCAAUAAAUACAUUAAUGGAUUUCAGGAGACCCUGAGCUCACAAGGACUUGAACUGAUUUGAAAGUGAUCAGAUGAUGAAUUACGUUCAUAUGAAGGAAGCACAUGGCAACCAAUGACCAGAAUCUGCUAUAAUGCUUCCUUCCUCAUCUUCACCAGGAAUUUAUUACUGAGAGUCUCUGUUGUGAUUCUAAUUUGCUAUAUGAGUCCUAUUCUUUAGUUAUUUACCACUUAUUGGCACGUUAAUUACCUCAUUUGAAAUGAUGGUGGAAGACAGUGGAUACCAAAGCAAAUAAAAAGUAUGGAGUUGGACAU